AGAAUGAACGCUGGCGGCAUGCCUAACACAUGCAAGUCGAACGAGACCUUCGGGUCUAGUGGCGCACGGGUGCGUAACGCGUGGGAAUCUGCCCUUAGGUACGGAAUAACUCAGGGAAACUUGUGCUAAUACCGUAUGAUGUCGAGAGACCAAAGAUUUAUCGCCUAGGGAUGAGCCCGCGUAGGAUUAGCUAGUUGGUGGGGUAAAGGCCUACCAAGGCUACGAUCCUUAGCUGGUCUGAGAGGAUGAUCAGCCACACUGGGACUGAGACACGGCCCAGACUCCUACGGGAGGCAGCAGUGGGGAAUAUUGGACAAUGGGCGAAAGCCUGAUCCAGCAAUGCCGCGUGAGUGAAGAAGGCCUUCGGUUGUAAGCUCUUUUACCCGGGAAGAUAAUGACUGUACCGGGAGAAUAAGCUCCGGCUAACUCCGCGCCAGCAGCCGC
RNAcentral lists this ribosomal RNA (444 nucleotides) under uncultured bacterium. RNAcentral's name for it is "SSU rRNA". It matches the Rfam family "Bacterial small subunit ribosomal RNA", at positions 26 to 518 of the family's 1533-position model. The record is from RNAcentral.